This 243-nucleotide unclassified non-coding RNA is filed under the name uncultured Scytalidium. RNAcentral describes it as "sequence contains ITS2". The stretch from base 1 to 52 matches the Rfam family "5.8S ribosomal RNA", at positions 103 to 154 of the family's 154-position model. The record is from RNAcentral. Lineage: Eukaryota; Fungi; Ascomycota.
AACGCACAUUGCGCCCCUUGGUAUUCCGAGGGGCAUGCCUGUUCGAGCGUCAUUUCAACCCUCAAGCUCUGCUUGGUCUUGGGCUGGGCCGCGAUGGCCGGUCUUAAAAUCAGUGGCGGUGCCGUCGCCGGCUCCAAGCGUAGUACAUCUCUCGCUCUGGAAGCCCGGCGGUGCCUGCCAGACAACCCCUAAUUGUCUCUCACGGUUGACCUCGGAUCAGGUAGGGAUACCCGCUGAACUUAA